CAGCUAGCCAGUGAUGGCAUGCGAAUCUCGAAAGCCUGUCUCAGUUCGGAUUGGAGGCUGAAACCCGCCUCCAUGAAGUUGGAUUCGCUAGUAAUCGCGCAUCAGCCAUGGCGCGGUGAAUACGUUCCCGGGCCUUGUACACACCGCCCGUCAAGCCAUGGGAGCCGGGGGUGCCUGAAGUUCGUUACCGCAAGGAUCGACCUAGGGCAAAACUGGUGACUGGGGCUAAGUCGUAACAAGGUAGC
This 245-nucleotide ribosomal RNA is filed under the name uncultured bacterium. Its description in RNAcentral is "partial 16S ribosomal RNA". It matches the Rfam family "Bacterial small subunit ribosomal RNA", at positions 1247 to 1500 of the family's 1533-position model. The record is from RNAcentral.